UGGCGGCAAGGCCGGCGUGAGGGACCGCUUCUCCCGCUCCACGCGGACAUACUGAAUCCAAAAAAAAUUCUAGUCGGUUUCGGAGCCAGUCCGACCCUAGACCAAUCCCAAAAAGGUCAAGAACAUGUUCAAGAAAAAAGAAAGUAUUAAUGAGAUGAAAUGCGCUGUAGGGAUUUUUUUUUUUUUUUUGAAAUAUGACACUAUA
RNAcentral lists this long non-coding RNA (205 nucleotides) under Elaeis guineensis (African oil palm). RNAcentral's name for it is "long non-coding RNA (EGUI_LNC019869)". Lineage: Eukaryota; Viridiplantae; Streptophyta; Magnoliopsida; Arecales; Arecaceae. The record is from RNAcentral.